RNAcentral lists this ribosomal RNA (425 nucleotides) under Lactobacillus gasseri. RNAcentral's name for it is "bacterial SSU rRNA". It matches the Rfam family "Bacterial small subunit ribosomal RNA", at positions 28 to 422 of the family's 1533-position model. The record is from RNAcentral. Lineage: Bacteria; Bacillati; Bacillota; Bacilli; Lactobacillales; Lactobacillaceae.
GACGAACGCUGGCGGCGCCUAAUACAUGCAAGUCGAGCGAGCUUGCCUAGAUGAAUUUGGUGCUUGCACCAAAUGAAACUAGAUACAAGCGAGCGGCGGACGGGUGAGUAACACGUGGGUAACCUGCCCAAGAGACUGGGAUAACACCUGGAAACAGAUGCUAAUACCGGAUAACAACACUAGACGCAUGUCUAGAGUUUAAAAGAUGGUUCUGCUAUCACUCUUGGAUGGACCUGCGGUGCAUUAGCUAGUUGGUAAGGUAACGGCUUACCAAGGCAAUGAUGCAUAGCCGAGUUGAGAGACUGAUCGGCCACAUUGGGACUGAGACACGGCCCAAACUCCUACGGGAGGCAGCAGUAGGGAAUCUUCCACAAUGGACGCAAGUCUGAUGGAGCAACGCCGCGUGAGUGAAGAAGGGUUUCGGC